Molecule: non-coding RNA, 89 nt
Organism: Lentithecium fluviatile CBS 122367
Lineage: Eukaryota; Fungi; Ascomycota; Dothideomycetes; Pleosporales; Lentitheciaceae
Source: the annotation of a GenBank genome assembly
UCCGAUGUAGUCCAGUGGUUAGGAUGUCUGGUUUUCAAAGAGUCUUGAAAAAGUCCCAGGAGACCCGGGUUCAAACCCCGGCAUCGGAA